CCUACGGGUGGCAGCAGUGAGGAAUAUUGGUCAAUGGGCGCAAGCCUGAACCAGCCAAGUCGCGUGAGGGAAGACGGCCCUACGGGUUGUAAACCCUUUUUGCCGGGGAGCAAGCCUGAGCACGUGUGCCCAGGCGGAGAGUACCCGGAGAAAAAGCAUCGGCUAACUCCGUGCCAGGAGCCGCGGUAAUACGGGGGAUGCGAGCGUUAUCCGGAUUUAUUGGGGUAAAGGGGUUCGCAGGCGGGCUGUUAAGCCGGCGGUAAAAAUUCAGGGCUCAACCCUGUCGAGCCGUCGGAACUGGCAGCCUUGAGUGGGCGAGAGGUAUGCGGAAUGCGUGGUGUAGCGGUGAAAUGCAUAGAUAUCACGCAGAACGCCGAUUGCGAAGGCAGCAUACCGGCGCCCGACUGACGCUGAGGCACGAAAGCGUGGGGAUCGAACAGGAUUAGAUACCCGUGUAGUC
This 460-nucleotide ribosomal RNA is filed under the name uncultured bacterium. Its description in RNAcentral is "partial 16S ribosomal RNA". It matches the Rfam family "Bacterial small subunit ribosomal RNA", at positions 338 to 795 of the family's 1533-position model. The record is from RNAcentral.